AGUGAACGCUGGCGGUAGGCCUAACACAUGCAAGUCGAACGGCAGCACAGGAGAGCUUGCUCUCUGGGUGGCGAGUGGCGGACGGGUGAGGAAUACAUCGGAAUCUACUCUGUCGUGGGGGAUAACGUAGGGAAACUUACGCUAAUACCGCAUACGACCUACGGGUGAAAGCAGGGGACCUUCGGGCCUUGCGCGAUUGAAUGAGCCGAUGUCGGAAUAGCUAGUUGGCGGGGUAAAGGCCCACCAAGGCGACGAUCCGUAGCUGGGCUGAGAGGAUGAUCAGCCACACUGGAACUGAGACACGGUCCAGACUCCUACGGGAGGCAGCAGUGGGGAAUAUUGGACAAUGGGCGCAAGCCUGAUCCAGCCAUACCGCGUGGGUGAAGAAGGCCUUCGGGUUGUAAAGCCCUUUUGUUGGGAAAGAAAUCCAGCUGGCUAAUACCCGGUUGGGAUGACGGUACCCAAAGAAUAAGCACCGGCUAACUUCGUGCCAGCCGCCGCGGUAA
Molecule: ribosomal RNA, 506 nt
Filed under: uncultured bacterium
Lineage: Bacteria
Description: partial 16S ribosomal RNA
Rfam family: Bacterial small subunit ribosomal RNA
Source: RNAcentral